This 437-nucleotide long non-coding RNA is filed under the name Zostera marina. Its description in RNAcentral is "long non-coding RNA (ZMAR_LNC001812)". The record is from RNAcentral. Lineage: Eukaryota; Viridiplantae; Streptophyta; Magnoliopsida; Alismatales; Zosteraceae.
CGAACCCAUUUGCAGUUCCGGUGAGGGUAAGAGAUUGCUCACCGCACUGUGCGAUCUGACUACUGGCUACAAUGCCUGUGAAGUGUGGACGGAUAUAUGCUGUCGGUUGUUCCGUUUGUAAUAUAUCAUUCCCUAUUUCCCUGAUCCGGUAAUCCUUAAUAUGAUAAUAUCCAUUAUAAUUUAUAAACUAUACAAAAAAUAAAAUUAAAAAACAAUCAAAAUUCAAAAAGGACACACAUUCAACCAGUCAACUAGUCAACAUAUUUAUUUACAUAAUUUUAUUGUAUUUUUAGCUUCAUACCAUUCAAUUAUUUGGAAAUUCCCAUCACAGGGAAAUUCUUGGCAGCAGGAGACUGUGAACGAUUGAAGGUAUGAACAGAUGAAGGUAUCUGGGACUCUUGAGUUCUGGGUAAGUCGCCGACAUGGUUACUUAUGAG